RNAcentral lists this ribosomal RNA (521 nucleotides) under uncultured fungus. Its description in RNAcentral is "eukaryotic LSU rRNA". The stretch from base 172 to 325 matches the Rfam family "5.8S ribosomal RNA". Lineage: Eukaryota; Fungi. The record is from RNAcentral.
UCCGUAGGUGAACCUGCGGAAGGAUCAUUACCUAGAGUUGCGGGCUUUGCCUGCCAUCUCUUACCCAUGUCUUUUGAGUACCUUCGUUUCCUCGGUGGGUUCGCCCGCCGAUUGGACAACACUUAAACCCUUUGUAAUUGAAAUCAGCGUCUGAAAAAACUUAAUAGUUACAACUUUCAACAACGGAUCUCUUGGUUCUGGCAUCGAUGAAGAACGCAGCGAAAUGCGAUAAGUAGUGUGAAUUGCAGAAUUCAGUGAAUCAUCGAAUCUUUGAACGCACAUUGCGCCCCUUGGUAUUCCAUGGGGCAUGCCUGUUCGAGCGUCAUUUGUACUCUCAAGCCUAGCUUGGUGUUGGGUGUUUUGUCUUCGCUAUGCUUAGACUCGCCUCAAAACAAUUGGCAGCCGGCGUAUUGAUUUCGGAGCGCAGUACAUCUCGCGCUUUGCACUCAUAACGACGACGUCCAAAAGUACAUUUUUACACUCUUGACCUCGGAUCAGGUAGGGAUACCCGCUGAACUUAA